CCUACGGGUGGCAGCAGUGAGGAAUAUUGGUCAAUGGACGGAAGUCUGAACCAGCCAUGCCGCGUGCAGGAAGACGGCUCUAUGAGUUGUAAACUGCUUUUGUACAAGGGUAAACCUGAAUACGUGUAUUCAGCUGAAAGUACUGUACGAAUAAGGAUCGGCUAACUCCGUGCCAGCAGCCGCGGUAAUACGGAGGAUGCGAGCGUUAUCCGGAUUUAUUGGGUUUAAAGGGGGCGUAGGGGGAAUAUAAAGUCAGCGGUAAAAAUUCGGGGCUCAACCCCGUCGUGCCGUUGAAACUGAUGUUCUUGAGUGGGCGAGAGGUAUGCGGAAUGCGUGGUGUAGCGGUGAAAUGCGUAGAUAUCACGCAGAACUCCGAUUGCGAAGGCAGCAUACCGGAGCGCAACUGACGCUGAAGCACGAAAGCGUGGGUAUCGAACAGGAUUAGAUACCCGGGUAGUC
RNAcentral lists this ribosomal RNA (459 nucleotides) under uncultured bacterium. RNAcentral's name for it is "partial 16S ribosomal RNA". It matches the Rfam family "Bacterial small subunit ribosomal RNA", at positions 338 to 795 of the family's 1533-position model. The record is from RNAcentral.